Molecule: unclassified non-coding RNA, 288 nt
Filed under: uncultured Alphaproteobacteria bacterium
Lineage: Bacteria; Pseudomonadati; Pseudomonadota; Alphaproteobacteria
Description: contains 16S-23S intergenic spacer region
Source: RNAcentral
UCCGGCUUAUCACCGGCAGUCCCACUAGAGUGCCCAACUGAAUGAUGGCAACUAAGGGCGAGGGUUGCGCUCGUUGCGGGACUUAACCCAACAUCUCACGACACGAGCUGACGACAGCCAUGCAGCACCUGUGUCCACGCCCCUUGCGGGGAGGAAUCCAUCUCUGGAGACCGUCGUGGCAUGUCAAGGGCUGGUAAGGUUCUUCGCGUUGCGUCGAAUUGAACCACAUGCUCCACCGCUUGUGCGGGCCCCCGACACCUAGUGCUCAUCGUUUACGGCGUGGACUAC